GUCCCUAUAUGCUAGAAUUCACUUGUCAUACCAAAAUUAGUGCUGCAACCGAGCAAAUAACUGGGCCUAAGUAUAUCUACAACCUGACUCCUUUUGAAAAACUCCCAGAAUUCAUCAAUGACACAAAAAAAUUCCAUGAUAUCCUUGGCAUUAUAACAGAAAUCAAUGAACCAGAGUGGAUUCCCUUCUCCAAUCAGCCUAAUCCUUCCCUACGACGUGACAUUAGAUUGACAGAUGGAUGUGGCCAAGAGAUAAAAAUGGCAAUUUGGGGUU
Long non-coding RNA from Panicum virgatum (switchgrass), 273 nucleotides. RefSeq lists it as uncharacterized. The transcript has 3 exons. The record is from RefSeq and is a predicted model, not a curated record. NCBI's taxonomy places the organism in Eukaryota, Viridiplantae, Streptophyta, Magnoliopsida, Poales, Poaceae.